RNAcentral lists this long non-coding RNA (244 nucleotides) under Elaeis guineensis (African oil palm). RNAcentral describes it as "long non-coding RNA (EGUI_LNC062743)". Lineage: Eukaryota; Viridiplantae; Streptophyta; Magnoliopsida; Arecales; Arecaceae. The record is from RNAcentral.
AGAUCUUGAAUCUUAUUGGGGAAUAGGAUUAAACCUAAACCCCAUGUGAUAUUUAUCUACGCGUCCCAUCUCUUUUCAUGGGGUGAAAAAUACCUCAUGCCCUAUUAUGAUGCACCGCCCCAUCUCUUCUCUUCCUCCCGUGGAAAAGGAGGCACCCCAAUCUCCUCUUGGUUGCCGCCCCAAAAGAAAAAGAAAGAAGGAAGGGGGCGUCCAACCCUUGGACGCCCCAACAUUUCACACGCCA